CCUACGGGUGGCAGCAGUGAGGAAUAUUGGUCAAUGGGCGUAAGUCUGAACCAGCCAAGUCGCGUGAGGGAUGACGGUUCUAUGAAUUGUAAACCUCUUUUGUAAGGGAGUAAAGGGCGGGACGUGUAUCGUUUUGUAAGUAUCUUAUGAAUAAGGAUCGGCUAACUCCGUGCCAGCAGCCGCGGUAAUACGGAGGAUUCGAGCGUUAUCCGGAUUUAUUGGGUUUAAGGGGUGCGUAGGCGGGCGGUUAAGUCAGCGGUGAAAUCCCGAGGCUCAACUUCGGAAUUGCCGUUGAUACUGUGCGGCUUGAGUGUGGUUGAGGCAGGCGGAAUGCUUGGUGUAGCGGUGAAAUGCUUAGAGAUCAUGCAGAACCCCGAUUGCGAAGGCAGCUUACCAAGCUACUACUGACGCUGAGGCACGAAAGCGUGGGGAUUAAACAGGAUUAGAUACCCGAGUAGUC
This 460-nucleotide ribosomal RNA is filed under the name uncultured bacterium. Its description in RNAcentral is "partial 16S ribosomal RNA". It matches the Rfam family "Bacterial small subunit ribosomal RNA", at positions 338 to 795 of the family's 1533-position model. The record is from RNAcentral.